GGUGUCGGCGGGCAGGCCCGGCAUGGUGAUCUCCAGGGUCACCGCGAGCCCGAACCCGGCUCCGGCCCGGCCGAUGCCG
This 79-nucleotide transfer RNA is filed under the name Catellatospora sp. IY07-71. Its description in RNAcentral is "tRNA-Trp". Lineage: Bacteria; Bacillati; Actinomycetota; Actinomycetes; Micromonosporales; Micromonosporaceae. The record is from RNAcentral.